UUAAGCGACUAAGCGUACACGGUGGAUGCCCUGGCAGUCAGAGGCGAUGAAGGACGUGCUAAUCUGCGAUAAGCGUCGGUGAGGUGAUAUGAACCGUUAUAACCGGCGAUUUCCGAAUGGGGAAACCCAGUGUGUUUCGACACACUAUCAUUAACUGAAUCCAUAGGUUAAUGAGGCGAACCGGGGGAACUGAAACAUCUAAGUACCCCGAAGGAAAAGAAUCAACCGAGAUUCCCCCAGUAGCGGCGAGCGAACGGGGAGGAGCCCAGAGCCUGAAUCAGUGUGUGUGUUAGUGGAAGCGUCUGGAAAGGCGUGCGAUACAGGGUGACAGCCCCGUACACAAAAAUGCACAUAUUGUGAGCUCGAUGAGUAGGGCGGGACACGUGGUAUCCUGUCUGAAUAUGGGGGGACCAUCCUCCAAGGCUAAAUACUCCUGACUGACCGAUAGUGAACCAGUACCGUGAGGGAAAGGCGAAAAGAACCCCGGCGAGGGGAGUGAAAAAGAACCUGAAACCGUGUACGUACAAGCAGUGGGAGCCUCUUAAUGGGGUGACUGCGUACCUUUUGUAUAAUGGGUCAGCGACUUAUAUUCUGUAGCAAGGUUAACCGAAUAGGGGAGCCGAAGGGAAACCGAGUCUUAACUGGGCGCUAAGUUGCAGGGUAUAGACCCGAAACCCGGUGAUCUAGCCAUGGGCAGGUUGAAGGUUGGGUAACACUAACUGGAGGACCGAACCGACUAAUGUUGAAAAAUUAGCGGAUGACUUGUGGCUGGGGGUGAAAGGCCAAUCAAACCGGGAGAUAGCUGGUUCUCCCCGAAAGCUAUUUAGGUAGCGCCUCGUGAAUUCAUCUCCGGGGGUAGAGCACUGUUUCGGCAAGGGGGUCAUCCCGACUUACCAACCCGAUGCAAACUGCGAAUACCGGAGAAUGUUAUCACGGGAGACACACGGCGGGUGCUAACGUCCGUCGUGAAGAGGGAAACAACCCAGACCGCCAGCUAAGGUCCCAAAGUCAUGGUUAAGUGGGAAACGAUGUGGGAAGGCCCAGACAGCCAGGAUGUUGGCUUAGAAGCAGCCAUCAUUUAAAGAAAGCGUAAUAGCUCACUGGUCGAGUCGGCCUGCGCGGAAGAUGUAACGGGGCUAAACCAUGCACCGAAGCUGCGGCAGCGACACUAUGUGUUGUUGGGUAGGGGAGCGUUCUGUAAGCCUGUGAAGGUGGCCUGUGAGGGUUGCUGGAGGUAUCAGAAGUGCGAAUGCUGACAUAAGUAACGAUAAAGCGGGUGAAAAGCCCGCUCGCCGGAAGACCAAGGGUUCCUGUCCAACGUUAAUCGGGGCAGGGUGAGUCGACCCCUAAGGCGAGGCCGAAAGGCGUAGUCGAUGGGAAACAGGUUAAUAUUCCUGUACUUGGUGUUACUGCGAAGGGGGACGGAGAAGGCUAUGUUGGCCGGGCGACGGUUGUCCCGGUUUAAGCGUGUAGGCUGGUUUUCCAGGCAAAUCCGGAAAAUCAAGGCUGAGGCGUGAUGACGAGGCACUACGGUGCUGAAGCGACAAAUGCCCUGCUUCCAGGAAAAGCCUCUAAGCAUCAGGUAACAUCAAAUCGUACCCCAAACCGACACAGGUGGUCAGGUAGAGAAUACCAAGGCGCUUGAGAGAACUCGGGUGAAGGAACUAGGCAAAAUGGUGCCGUAACUUCGGGAGAAGGCACGCUGAUAUGUAGGUGAAGCGACUUGCUCGUGGAGCUGAAAUCAGUCGAAGAUACCAGCUGGCUGCAACUGUUUAUUAAAAACACAGCACUGUGCAAACACGAAAGUGGACGUAUACGGUGUGACGCCUGCCCGGUGCCGGAAGGUUAAUUGAUGGGGUUAGCGGCAACGCGAAGCUCUUGAUCGAAGCCCCGGUAAACGGCGGCCGUAACUAUAACGGUCCUAAGGUAGCGAAAUUCCUUGUCGGGUAAGUUCCGACCUGCACGAAUGGCGUAAUGAUGGCCAGGCUGUCUCCACCCGAGACUCAGUGAAAUUGAACUCGCUGUGAAGAUGCAGUGUACCCGCGGCAAGACGGAAAGACCCCGUGAACCUUUACUAUAGCUUGACACUGAACAUUGAGCCUUGAUGUGUAGGAUAGGUGGGAGGCUUUGAAGUGUGGACGCCAGUCUGCAUGGAGCCGACCUUGAAAUACCACCCUUUAAUGUUUGAUGUUCUAACGUUGGCCCGUAAUCCGGGUUGCGGACAGUGUCUGGUGGGUAGUUUGACUGGGGCGGUCUCCUCCUAAAGAGUAACGGAGGAGCACGAAGGUUGGCUAAUCCUGGUCGGACAUCAGGAGGUUAGUGCAAUGGCAUAAGCCAGCUUGACUGCGAGCGUGACGGCGCGAGCAGGUGCGAAAGCAGGUCAUAGUGAUCCGGUGGUUCUGAAUGGAAGGGCCAUCGCUCAACGGAUAAAAGGUACUCCGGGGAUAACAGGCUGAUACCGCCCAAGAGUUCAUAUCGACGGCGGUGUUUGGCACCUCGAUGUCGGCUCAUCACAUCCUGGGGCUGAAGUAGGUCCCAAGGGUAUGGCUGUUCGCCAUUUAAAGUGGUACGCGAGCUGGGUUUAGAACGUCGUGAGACAGUUCGGUCCCUAUCUGCCGUGGGCGCUGGAGAACUGAGGGGGGCUGCUCCUAGUACGAGAGGACCGGAGUGGACGCAUCACUGGUGUUCGGGUUGUCAUGCCAAUGGCACUGCCCGGUAGCUAAAUGCGGAAGAGAUAAGUGCUGAAAGCAUCUAAGCACGAAACUUGCCCCGAGAUGAGUUCUCCCUGACCCUUUAAGGGUCCUGAAGGAACGUUGAAGACGACGACGUUGAUAGGCCGGGUGUGUAAGCGCAGCGAUGCGUUGAGCUAACCGGUACUAAUGAACCGUGAGGCUUAACCUU
Molecule: ribosomal RNA, 2901 nt
Filed under: Escherichia coli DEC1A
Lineage: Bacteria; Pseudomonadati; Pseudomonadota; Gammaproteobacteria; Enterobacterales; Enterobacteriaceae
Description: bacterial LSU rRNA
Rfam family: Bacterial large subunit ribosomal RNA
Source: RNAcentral